Molecule: ribosomal RNA, 305 nt
Filed under: uncultured bacterium
Lineage: Bacteria
Description: partial 16S ribosomal RNA
Rfam family: Bacterial small subunit ribosomal RNA
Source: RNAcentral
ACAGCAGCAGCCGCGGGAAUACGAGGGGGGCAAGCGUUGUUCGGAAUUAUUGGGCGUAAAGGGUGCGUAGGCGGUUUGACAAGUCUUAUGUGAAAUCUCUGGGCUCAACCCAGAGUCUGCAUGGGAAACUGUCGGGCUUGAGUAUGGGAGAGGUGAGUGGAAUUUCCGGUGUAGCGGUGAAAUGCGUAGAUAUCGGAAGGAACACCUGUGGCGAAAGCGGCUCACUGGACCAUAACUGACGCUGAUGCUCGAAAGCGUGGGGAGCAAACAGGAUUAGAGACCCCAGUAGUCCCUGUCUCUUAUAC